UGCGCGUCUUCUCCGCCUCCACCUCUUCCCAUCCCAUUUUCUUCUUCAGUAUCAACACACAGAUUAGGGAGAUAGAGAGGAGCAGGAGAGAGACAAGGUUUAGACAGCUAGAGAGAGCUGAGCGACGGUGAUGGAGGAACGGGUGGUGCUCUCCGUCCGGCCACCGACCGGUGGCGAUGGUCCCCUCUUCUGCGAACACACUUGCCAGGGAUCCAAAAACCCACCGCCCCUUCUCAAUGACAUCUCAUUUCCACCCGCUCCGGUUUACUUUUCCCUCCGCCACCACAACCGUCGUACGUUCACCGGCAAAUCGAUUAGAAGCCGUUUUAAAGAGAUCGGUUGAAGAUUUCAUCGUGAUUUUCAUUCGUAAAAGGCUUAAGCGAUAGUUACAGAUCUGAUUCUGAAUAGGGGUUGGCCGUUGAUGACGAAGUUGACGGUGGAUUUGAGGUAACAGUGAGGGUUUACAACUGAUUCGAGGUUAUUUGAUUUAUUCGGUAUGUUUCGAUUUUGAUUAUUACGGGUGGUAUGCAGAAUAACAUCCCCUUUAAAAUAACCUAAAUAUCUAAGAGUUCCUUCCAAGAUAACCUCACAUGUUAACAGGUUAUACCAAACAGUAUAUAACAUCCCCACGAUGGUAAUGUCUGUCAAAACUGCAGGUCUUUCAAUUUGUCUGACCUUAGUACCUGAAGACAACCGUAUGUUUGUUUAUUCAUGUAUAACUUGUGAAUAUGAAGGAAUUGUGUGGAUGAUUUUGCUAUGACCAAAAAUAAAUUACUCAUAUGCAUGUUAUCUCAUAUAAUAGGUCUUUGUUGGAAGAUAUGAGGCAUGAGAAAAUCCACUUCUGCUUGGUGCCUGGUGCACACGAGGCUGUGAUGAGUUAUCAAAAUUCGGUCAAUAUGUUUCCAUAGCGUGGCAGCUAUGGAGGAUGGCAGGUUGUCGCCUGCAACCCCUACUGCAGCCAUGGUGGCUUCGUACUUUUGCUUUCUCUGAGCCUCAUGAAUCGAUUAAAUGUUGCCUUUGAGGUUGGCAAUGGUGAUUUGGAGGGAAAAAAUGUCGGCUGCAGAGGCGAUUCACCGGUUGGGUGUUGUCGGUCGGGUUCUUGGUACUUGAACAUUAAGUAAAUUAAUGGUUUUAGAACAAAGAACUAUGGAAGGUGGUCUAUGAUAUAUUUUCGAUUAAUGUAAACUGAUUGUUAGAAACUUACAGUUACAGCUAUGAACUAUAAAUUUAUCAUUAUUGUUUGGUUUAGUUCUCAUAUGUUUUAUAUGUGUUGGCAUUUAAAUCGUUGUUUUGUAUAAUCUGAUUGAGUGGAUCAACAUCUAAUACAGUAAGGUGAGCGACGGAUAGUUUCUUUCACGCGCUGUGCUUUUGGAUCUGGAGCCUGGAACGAUGGACAGUAUCAUAUCUGCCCUGUACGAUAUGAUCUUCAAGCCUGGUAACUUUGUGUUUGGUGUUAAGUUUUGUAAACAAUUAUAAAGACUUUAGUGGGAGACCACAAUACAUUGAGUGGGUUAGAAACUCGGGAGUUCAGCCCAGAAAUGACUAAUGAGGACGAUUUCUACACAAAUAUGGUAGUCACAGGGUAUUACAAGAACCAUGUUUAAAGUUAUUACAAGAGUAAAUACAAUCACCAAAUUCCCUUGCAAAAACGAAAACACAAUCAUAGCAUGGGAACUCAUCAACGACCCCCCUGCCAACUAGAUUACUCGGGACGAAUGGUUAAUGCUUGGUACAAGAAAAAGAAAUGGCUACGUUUGUUAAAUUAUUGGCAUUCCCGGAUGAUAGAGUUGACUUCCUCUGGUAGCUCAUCAUGGGGGCAAUGGCAUGAACAAGACAAAACGAAUGCCAUAACUAAUACUUAAAGGUGGGAAAACGAGCAGCUAAAUGUAACUUAUCAAAUGCAGUAGAGUGCCUUAUUGCUCUACCAAACCAGUUACAGUGACAAUAACUGAUGAAUGCCCGUGUGGAUGCAACGAUGUUCCCUUUCAUUUUGACCUAAGCGGAACAGCUUUUGGUACCAUGGCAAAUCUAGGACAAGCUAUGAAUCUUCGUAAUCUUGGUCAGGUUGAUAUUCAAAUUCGAAGGUAUACACAUCAUCAAUUUUAACAUAUAUCACCACUAGAAAACUAGCAUGUUCUUCAAGUUUGUUUAUAGUUAUAUAUGCAUAUGACAGAAGGUUAUCCUCUAUUGAAAGACAUGCUUAUUUAUUUUAAGGGGUGUAAAUUGGUCUGUCGCGAGUAAGAAGCGAAAACAUUAACAUUCACCAAUUUUGUUUGUUGUUGAGAUGUAUAUGUAGCUCAGUUUGAAGAUUCACAAGGAUUUUGUUGGUUGUGUGCAAAGCAUAUUUACAUAAGAACACCGCCCUUGGAAGAGGAUCAAGCUUCCAGUGGGAUUGUUAGUGAGGAGUCAUGGAGAGGAGUUGCAUAUUACAAAGGGUACAAACAGAAGUUUUAUAACAUAACAAAUAGGAAUUUAAUUUGGUAAAAGUUUCAAAAAAAUAACACUCUUUAUGAAAGACUAAGAUUAUUAGGAAAUUGCAAAGCUGAACAUGAGUGUGUGGGGAUUGCCUAACCUGAACAUGAUUUCUAUUUA
This is a long non-coding RNA of Helianthus annuus (common sunflower), 2592 nucleotides long. RefSeq lists it as uncharacterized. The transcript is spliced from 5 exons. Lineage: Eukaryota; Viridiplantae; Streptophyta; Magnoliopsida; Asterales; Asteraceae. The record is from RefSeq and is a predicted model, not a curated record.